Molecule: ribosomal RNA, 550 nt
Filed under: Escherichia coli
Lineage: Bacteria; Pseudomonadati; Pseudomonadota; Gammaproteobacteria; Enterobacterales; Enterobacteriaceae
Description: partial 23S ribosomal RNA
Rfam family: Bacterial large subunit ribosomal RNA
Source: RNAcentral
GGGACACGUGGUAUCCUGUCUGAAUAUGGGGGGACCAUCCUCCAAGGCUAAAUACUCCUGACUGACCGAUAGUGAACCAGUACCGUGAGGGAAAGGCGAAAAGAACCCCGGCGAGGGGAGUGAAAAAGAACCUGAAACCGUGUACGUACAAGCAGUGGGAGCACGCUUAGGCGUGUGACUGCGUACCUUUUGUAUAAUGGGUCAGCGACUUAUAUUCUGUAGCAAGGUUAACCGAAUAGGGGAGCCGAAGGGAAACCGAGUCUUAACUGGGCGUUAAGUUGCAGGGUAUAGACCCGAAACCCGGUGAUCUAGCCAUGGGCAGGUUGAAGGUUGGGUAACACUAACUGGAGGACCGAACCGACUAAUGUUGAAAAAUUAGCGGAUGACUUGUGGCUGGGGGUGAAAGGCCAAUCAAACCGGGAGAUAGCUGGUUCUCCCCGAAAGCUAUUUAGGUAGCGCCUCGUGAAUUCAUCUCCGGGGGUAGAGCACUGUUUCGGCAAGGGGGUCAUCCCGACUUACCAACCCGAUGCAAACUGCGAAUACCGGAGAA